Molecule: long non-coding RNA, 493 nt
Organism: Triplophysa dalaica
Lineage: Eukaryota; Metazoa; Chordata; Actinopteri; Cypriniformes; Nemacheilidae
Exons: 3
Source: RefSeq, a predicted model, not a curated record
UCUGCGCAGCGCCGCAUGAAGUCGAUCACGCUUGUUUUAGGAGCACAGAAAUGGAUUACAGCGGAUGGCUCAACAGAACAGUUGUUUGAGUGAUGUGACAGAGAAAGAGGUAGACAACAAAAAGUCAAAAUCAUGUUACUGUGAUUCAUUAUGAGAGGGCUUUCAUAUCUGGCUGAAAGGCUCAUGUCAUGUUUUACCACUUCUAAAAGAGUCUGAAACAUUGCAAGACAUGACGAUAGGCAGCAAGUUUGGUCAGUCUCUGGGGCAUCACCCUCAAUUCACCCUUCCUCAGGCAGCCUGGUGCUCAUUUAAACUGCAUCCUAAACCAUUAGUUAGGCACUGAUAAGAAGUCUACUGAGAUGUAAAUAAUGGCUGACAGUAAUGAUGAACUGUCUGUAAACCCUAUAAAGGGAUAGACAUUUCUGAUAACCUGUUUAGAUCUUUAAGAAAAGCUCUCAUAUUGACCUUAUAAUAAACAAAUACUGUUCAAAGA